GCUGGGCGUGGUGGCGCAUGCCUGUAAUCCCAGCAGCUCAGGAGGCUGAGGCAGGAGAAUUGUGAAUUCAAAGCCAGCCUCAGCAACUGAGUGGGAGGCCCUAAGCACUCAGCAAGACCUUGUCUCUA
This 128-nucleotide small RNA is filed under the name Marmota monax (woodchuck). Lineage: Eukaryota; Metazoa; Chordata; Mammalia; Rodentia; Sciuridae. The record is from RNAcentral.